This 634-nucleotide long non-coding RNA is filed under the name Sarcophilus harrisii (Tasmanian devil). RNAcentral's name for it is "lncRNA (ENSSHAG00000029445.1)". The record is from RNAcentral. Lineage: Eukaryota; Metazoa; Chordata; Mammalia; Dasyuromorphia; Dasyuridae.
CUGGGGGCCCCUGGCCCAGCUCUCUCUGUUUCUUCUAGGGCUUUUCGCACUCCUGCCUCAAGCUCCAAGCUGCAGUUUCAGCAGGGAGCCUCCUUCCCUCCCUCUCCCGCCCCCAGGUUUCAGCUCCAGUCAGUUGUUCCCUCUCAGUGGAAGGUCCGGGGGCAGCAGGGAUUCACUUCUGAGAUCUGGGGUGUUGGGAAGAGCUAGAAGGAUGGCUCCCAAGGCACAGGAGCCUUCCCCGGCUGCAUCUUCUCCUUGUCUUCAUUAGGCUCUCAUUAACUGGGAGAUGUAGGGAUGGAGGACUAUGGAUUUUGAAGAAUACAGACAUAGCCUGUCAGAAUUGGUUGAUAUGUUGGUUCAUUCUCCUGAACUACUUUCUCCCUUCUCUAUUUUUUUUUUUUUCUGGUAAAAAAGGAGAGAAGAGGGGAAUAUUUAAAAAUGAAGAUGAUACAAAGACAAAGGAUAUAUCAAUAAAACAUUUUAAAAGUCUGUUGAUUUUCUGAAUUGAUUUGGUUGUUUGGCUGGAAGAGUUGCUGUUUGCUCAGCAAGAACAUGGCACCAGAUACUGAAACAGAUACGGAGGUUAUUUUCAAACUGCAUGUAGACCCCCAAAUGGAACAUCUUCUUUUUCAAU